Gorilla gorilla gorilla (western lowland gorilla) is the source of this 1210-nucleotide long non-coding RNA. RefSeq lists it as uncharacterized. NCBI's taxonomy places the organism in Eukaryota, Metazoa, Chordata, Mammalia, Primates, Hominidae. The record is from RefSeq and is a predicted model, not a curated record. The transcript has 4 exons.
GCAGUUUUAAGAAGAAUGCAUUGAUUCUACAACAUGCUAUUGUGAAGCCAUCCAGGACUGUUCACUCACUUAUUUAAGAAAGAGAAAAUAAGAGAAGUAUCCCUGAAGGAUGAAAUAUCCUCAAAUAUGAAAAUGUCUGCUCUCUGAAGACCAACUGUCUUAGUCUGCUUUUUGCUGCUGUAACAGAAUACCACAGACUUGGUUACAUUAGUUAUAAUAUACACUCUGGAGGUGACUUGACCUGUCAUUGUGAACAACUAUUGCUCUUGGACGACCCAGGACAUAGGCCAGCCAACUUGCUGUCAAGGCUUCUGAUCAACACGAGAUGACCGCCGUGUGGUAAACUGAUGAACCCCGACCCUGAUGAACAUGAGAUGACUGCUGUGUAGUAAACUGAUGAACCCCGACCCUGAUCAACAUGAGAUGACCGCUGUGUGGUAAACUGAUGAACCCCGACCCUGAUCAACAUGAGAUGACUGCUGUGUGGUAAACUGAUGAACCCCGACCCUGAUGAACGUGAGAUGACCGCCGUGUGGUAAACUGAUGAACCCUGACCCUGAUCAACAUGAGAUGGCCGCUGUGUAGUAAACUGAUGAACCCUGACCCAUUAGGCUUUGGCUACAGAAUGUGGAAAUAAGUUGUGUUACUACGUGUGUGUAAUCCUAGGGUGCAGGACACCGGCCGGGAGGUUCCGUAGAGUGAUGGGUUGUGCAGGUAACUCAUCCUCUAGUCCUCUGUAAGCUCCUAGAAGGAAGAAAUUAUGUCCUUUAGACUAAUAAAAUUCCUCCAAACCAAAUACACCACCUACAGUGAAGACACAAAGAUACUUUUAGAAUAGUAAAAACUUUAUCCAUUGAGAAAUUCCUUAAUGAAACUGUAUCCAAGAAGUCAUUUGCCAGCAGAUUUCUUAGAGGUGCGAUAAAGAAGAGGACACUGCCAGUCGUCACAGCAGCUGCAAUAGCUCCUCUCUAUUGUUAAACACUGGGAUAUCUUGUACAGGUUUUCAGUUGACAAUCAAUUUUAAAAAUUAGUUUCAGUCCCCAUCAAUCAAUUAUUUAUUAACCCAUCAAUAAAAAUUUAAAUGCUCUGUAAGGUACAAUAGCUAUUAAAAGAGACAGAGGCACUUUCUGUGUCUAGAGGGGCUUUUAGUCUGCUCUGGAAAGCAAGAUGUGUGCAGAUGAGUGACACAGUGCAUCGUGUGGAUGCAAAG